GGGAGAAGAAAAAAAGGAAAAAAAAAAAUCGUACGCGUCCGUCUCGCGACGCGAUCUUUGACGCUUGCGCUCCUGGGCCAUCCGACCUAAAGCUUGCUACCAGUUUUUUUCUUUUUCCUACUUCGACGUGAAACUCGGACCCUUCGUCGUUCAACUACGGAACAUGGAAGACCCCUGGGAGUACGGCAAGCUUCCAUCGGACGAAGAAAGUAUCGCCGUCAACAUGGUACUCUUCUCGAGCGGGUGUACCUCAUUCUCUCCCCUUCGUUUGAUUAUACUCAAACGCGUUUUGUAAAUUACAUACUUGGAAACGUCCGUCCCGUUUUUAUUCGACGAGUAAACAGAGUUACCUGUGCAUGACACAAGUGCUACCGUUUGGUACAAAUAAUGAAAUAACAGUUCUACGCCCCGGUAGGGUGUUUCUUUUUCUACCGACAAUGCUACUACUGAUAACACCGAUGCCCAAGGAGGAGAGCACCAAGUGCAACGAACGGUAUGAUAAGUAAAUGCACUCUCGCAAGAUUCUCCAUCCACCCAGUCCGAGACUAGGGUGCGAAUUUACCGUUGAUAAAGAGGCGAUUUCAUCUGCAGGGUGCUAUGCUACAGUCGGUAACACGACUCGGACAAGUCGGUAACGCACCUGUACAGGUGUUUCUAUCGGACUUACCUUCGUUUCUUGCGUUUUAUACGAUAAUCAAACAAGAUGGUUCAACAGUCGUUAAAGAUGGUACAAAAUAAAUAUAUGUAUUUGAUUUCCAUGUCCGGAACAUUAUUUAAAAACCGAAGAUCAGAUGCGAUAAGAAAUGCAUAAAAUCAGAAAUACUUUCUAACGAUAACAUUAAGAAAUCACGAGUAAAUUAUUAUGAAAAUCGCAUUGUUCGAGAACCACCGGCCUAUAUAUAACAUAAAUUCGUUCACAUUAUUAAAAAGAUGUGCACUUAUCGGUGACUAUAAAUCGCAGUUGAAUUAAACUGCGACAUGUGCAUCAGACAAAUAAAAAUUCAAUGGAUGUUAAAAGAUUAAAAGUAUUGAAAAUAAUAUCAAUAGAAGUGCUUGUGAACGAACAAAUGUGAAAGCAACAUAGUUGCGUUUGAAAAAUGGAUAUUUUCAAAAUAUCGGAGGUACAAUAGGUAUCAAUAUUGUGCACUCUAUUCAAAAUUAUACACGCAUGCACAAUGAAAACAGAUUCGCGAGAGUAACGACCAAACUGUGGAUUUUACGCAUUAAAUAUUUAUCUCAGAAAAACAUGUGAAAUCAGUGUCGUAUAAAAUCAAAUAAAAUAAAACAGUGUUCCUAUAAAUUAUCGAUAAUAACCACGUGUGCUUGGUAUAUUAUAUAGAAACGUAGCACACAUUUGUAUACCGAUAAAUAACUUCAAUAGAAGCUCGACAAUUUAAACGAAUGAAAUAGUGUAAAAUUACGAAACAAAUUUAGGAACAGAGUAAUCUUUCCUGUUUUUUUCUGCCCUAAAUACGCGACGAAUGUUCAGAGUCGAGAUUCUAUUGCAUCCUGUUUUAUCCAAUGUUUAUAAUGGAAAAAAUGGAAAGAAUUCAGUAACAUCAUAUACGAAAAGUAAGAUUGAAACACAAAUGUCUCAUUGUCGGUAAUAAUUUCAAAGUUCAGGACAGAUAAUUGAUACUUUAUCACAGUGUUAAUAUAUAUAUAAUUUAUGCAAGGUAAUAAAUUUUCUGUUAUCAGUACCGAACAACGUUACUACAUUGUCGAUUUCCAGUAACAAUUAAUGUAAGGGAAUGGUAACUAAUUGUACUAACGAAACGCUGUAUAUUUUCAAAAAGUAAACAAGAAAGUUAAUAAUUCCUGUUGGAACAUAAGUUAGGAGCUGAUAACGCGAAACUAACUGCCCGUUUCAUUGUGGAAACAGGUGUGCUUCAAACCGUGAAUGUUUACAUUUCGUAAAUGUACGUUACUGAAUACGAAAAUCAAAGGUAAAUGAAGAAAAAUGAAAAUA
This is a long non-coding RNA of Osmia bicornis bicornis, 1969 nucleotides long. RefSeq lists it as uncharacterized. The record is from RefSeq and is a predicted model, not a curated record. The transcript is spliced from 3 exons. NCBI's taxonomy places the organism in Eukaryota, Metazoa, Arthropoda, Insecta, Hymenoptera, Megachilidae.